UACGUAGGGGGCUAGCGUCGUCCGGAAUCAUUGGGCGUAAAGCGCGUGUAGGCGGUUCGGUAAGUCCGCUGUGAAAGUCGGGGGCUCAACCCUCGGAUGCCGGUGGAUACUGUCGGACUAGAGUACGGAAGAGGCGAGUGGAAUUCCUGGUGUAGCGGUGAAAUGCGCAGAUAUCAGGAUGAACACCGGUGGCGAAGGCGGGUCUCUGGGCCGUAACUGACGCUGAGGAGCGAAAGCGUGGGGAGCGAACAGG
RNAcentral lists this ribosomal RNA (253 nucleotides) under uncultured bacterium. RNAcentral's name for it is "partial 16S ribosomal RNA". It matches the Rfam family "Bacterial small subunit ribosomal RNA", at positions 524 to 776 of the family's 1533-position model. The record is from RNAcentral.